RNAcentral lists this ribosomal RNA (253 nucleotides) under uncultured bacterium. Its description in RNAcentral is "partial 16S ribosomal RNA". It matches the Rfam family "Bacterial small subunit ribosomal RNA", at positions 524 to 776 of the family's 1533-position model. The record is from RNAcentral.
UACGAAGGGGGCUAGCGUUGUUCGGAAUUACUGGGCGUAAAGGGCGCGUAGGCGGCCAUUCAAGUUAGGUGUGAAAGCCCUGGGCUCAACCUAGGAAUUGCACUUGAUACUGUUUGGCUUGAGUUCGGGAGAGGUGAGUGGAAUUCCCAGUGUAGAGGUGAAAUUCGUAGAUAUUGGGAAGAACACCAGUGGCGAAGGCGGCUCACUGGACCGACACUGACGCUGAGGCGCGAAAGCGUGGGGAGCAAACUGG